UACGAGGGGUGCAAGCGUUAUUCGGAAUCAUUGGGCGUAAAGGGUGCGUAGACGGCUUAUUAAGUCAACUGUUAAAUUCUCCGGCCUAACUGGAGGUAUGCAGUAGAAACUGAUAGACUUGAGAUUGGAAGAGAGGAGUGGAAUUCUCGGAGUAGCGGUAAAAUGCGUAGAUCUCGAGAGGAACACCGAUGGCGAAGGCAGCUCCUUGGUCCAUAUCUGACGUUGAGGCACGAAAGCGUGGGGAGCAAAC
This 250-nucleotide ribosomal RNA is filed under the name uncultured bacterium. Its description in RNAcentral is "partial 16S ribosomal RNA". It matches the Rfam family "Bacterial small subunit ribosomal RNA", at positions 524 to 773 of the family's 1533-position model. The record is from RNAcentral.